UCUCCUAAGGCUAAAUACUCUCUAGUGACCGAUAGUGAACCAGUACCGUGAGGGAAAGGUGAAAAGCACCCCGGAAGGGGAGUGAAAUAGAACCUGAAACCGUGUGCUUACAAGUAGUCAGAGCCCGUUAAUGGGUGAUGGCGUGCCUUUUGUAGAAUGAACCGGCGAGUUACGAUUUGAUGCAAGGUUAAGCAGUAAAUGUGGAGCCGUAGCGAAAGCGAGUCUGAAUAGGGCGUUUAGUAUUUGGUCGUAGACCCGAAACCAGGUGAUCUACCCUUGGUCAGGUUGAAGUUCAGGUAACACUGAAUGGAGGACCGAACCGACUUACGUUGAAAAGUGAGCGGAUGAACUGAGGGUAGCGGAGAAAUUCCAAUCGAACCUGGAGAUAGCUGGUU
Molecule: ribosomal RNA, 395 nt
Filed under: Staphylococcus aureus
Lineage: Bacteria; Bacillati; Bacillota; Bacilli; Caryophanales; Staphylococcaceae
Description: partial 23S ribosomal RNA
Rfam family: Bacterial large subunit ribosomal RNA
Source: RNAcentral